This is a non-coding RNA of Paramuricea clavata, 1104 nucleotides long. NCBI's taxonomy places the organism in Eukaryota, Metazoa, Cnidaria, Anthozoa, Malacalcyonacea, Plexauridae. The record is from the annotation of a GenBank genome assembly.
CUUCAAAAAAGGAAAAACCUUGGAAAUUAUGCCAUAUUUCUGAAUUUGAUUUUUUUGCAUCUCCCCCCCUUGCACCCAUCCUAUCAAUCCACCCCUGGGGUUAACUAUGUGUGUAUAUCUCAAGAUUGUUAAUUUAAACCAUUAGUUGCCAUUUGUUAUAUGUUGAAACCAACGAGUUUUGGCUAUUUGCCAGUGAAUUAAUGUGAUUGGUUCAUUUAAAUGGUCAGUGGAUGUUUCACACAAUCAAACUGGAACCUUAACCGCACCUAACCUUUAACCCUCUUCUCUAACCUGUAACCCUAACUGAUCAGGCCACCUGCUCGCAGGUCGAUACACCCAUCUACGACAUACAAGGCGAGUGCCUUAAAUCACUCGACUACCGACGUUUGCUUGAAAAUCGAUGAAAUUUGCUUGACAUCAUUUUAGCAAGCUGACAGAAUGAGGAAAUAAGCUAAUCAAAUUAAUUCACAGACAAAUAGCCAAAGCUUGUUGGCUUUGGUGACCGUCCAGACAGACAACUUUUGUAUUUUUACUCUGUCUAAUGCCAGGUGUAUUUACUUGUCUUUGGGAAAUAUUGAGUAAUUGACUGUCAAUGGGCUCUUGUUAACACAAAUACAACAAGCUGUAAUAUAUCCUAAUGUGCCAAUUUUUUGUCAAAAGUGCCAGGUGUUUUUACUUUAACCCAUUAAGCUGUAAAGCUUCCCCAUUGACGGGUAAAAUUGUUUGGCGUUAGACAAGUAAAAAAAUAGGCAGGGAGCACCGAGGUGCAUUGGGCCCGCAGUAAUUGGCGUUAUGCUGUUGUGGGAACCCUGCCAGAAUUUGUAAUUUAUGUAACGGCAAAGUUAUUAAAUUAAAAAAAUUGCAGCUCAAUCAGUAGUGCCUAAAUUACUUUGAAUUUGUACUCAAGUAAAAGUAGAAGUAAUUAACAAUAAAACGACUUGAGUAAGAGUAAAAAGUACUGGAAGCAAAACGUACUUAAGUAAAAAGUACAAAGUAUCCUUAAAAAAUACUUGAAGUACAAAGUAAAAGUACUAUUGUCUAUAGCGUGUAGGGGGGAGGGGGGCUUCUCCAAUGGAUUGACAUACAAAAGACACAAAACAGCAC